Molecule: ribosomal RNA, 369 nt
Filed under: uncultured Acaulosporaceae
Lineage: Eukaryota; Fungi; Glomeromycota; Glomeromycetes; Diversisporales; Acaulosporaceae
Description: eukaryotic LSU rRNA
Source: RNAcentral
GUGAAAUUGUUGUAAAGGGAAACGAUUAAAGUCAGUCAUGUUUGUAGGGGAAUCAACUUGAUGGUAUGCGGGGGUUUACUCGUGUUCGUUUUUGAGUGCACUUCCUUACUUGCAAGUUAGCAUCAAUUUUGAUUAUCAUAUAAAAAUUGAGGGAAGGUGGCUUUUCUUCGGAAAAGUGUUAUAGACCUCGAGAAAUGUGAUGAUCGGGAUUGAGGGAUUGCAGCGGAUACCCUUUUUGGGGGCUAGUCACCUGGCUUCUGAUGAUUACCCCGUCUUCGACAGCUUGCUGACGUUGGUGGGACUCGAUUAUCUAGAUGUUAGACUGAUCAUAAAUUCGCUAAGGAUGCUGACGUAAUGGCUUUAAACGAC